UGUAAAUUAGUGUAAAAGCACAUAAAUCUUUGAUAUUUAUAGAUAAGUUUAAAUCUUAAUUUUACAA
Molecule: transfer RNA, 67 nt
Filed under: Convexana sp. 1 JW-2022a
Lineage: Eukaryota; Metazoa; Arthropoda; Insecta; Hemiptera; Cicadellidae
Also listed under: 1 other name
Description: tRNA-Gln
Source: RNAcentral